This 140-nucleotide small RNA is filed under the name unclassified sequences. Its description in RNAcentral is "LOOT RNA". It matches the Rfam family "LOOT RNA". From Rfam's summary of the family: Latescibacteria, OD1/Parcubacteria, OP11, TM7. Lineage (Microgenomates, aka OP11) The record is from Rfam by way of RNAcentral.
UGCCUAAACUUCGAAAACGUUAGGUUUCGUUAAGUUCUCGAAGCAUGGCAGUAAAACCGAGUAAGUGAACGGAAGCUCUCCGUUUAGCAACUUACUCGGUCAUGUGGGGAAACUUACAUGGAUGAUCUGAAAUGGUCAUC